UGGGGAAUAUUGGGCAAUGGGGGCAACCCUGACCCAGCGACGCCGCGUGUGGGAAGAAGUCUUUCGGGACGUAAACCACUGUUGUGCGGGAAGAAGUAAGUGACGGUACCGCACGAGUAAGGCCCGGCAAACUACGUG
This 138-nucleotide ribosomal RNA is filed under the name uncultured bacterium. RNAcentral describes it as "partial 16S ribosomal RNA". It matches the Rfam family "Bacterial small subunit ribosomal RNA", at positions 355 to 507 of the family's 1533-position model. The record is from RNAcentral.